This 497-nucleotide ribosomal RNA is filed under the name uncultured bacterium. RNAcentral's name for it is "partial 16S ribosomal RNA". It matches the Rfam family "Bacterial small subunit ribosomal RNA", at positions 28 to 507 of the family's 1533-position model. The record is from RNAcentral.
GAUGAACGCUGGCGGCGUGCCUAAUACAUGCAAGUCGAGCGAACGGACGAGAAGCUUGCUUCUCUGAUGUUAGCGGCGGACGGGUGAGUAACACGUGGAUAACCUACCUAUAAGACUGGGAUAACUUCGGGAAACCGGAGCUAAUACCGGAUAAUAUUUUGAACCGCAUGGUUCAAAAGUAAAAGACGGUCUUGCUGUCACUUAUAGAUGGAUCCGCGCUGCAUUAGCUAGUUGGUAAGGUAACGGCUUACCAAGGCAACGAUGCAUAGCCGACCUGAGAGGGUGAUCGGCCACACUGGAACUGAAACACGGUCCAGACUCCUACGGGAGGCAGCAGUAGGGAAUCUUCCGCAAUGGGCGAAAGCCUGACGGAGCAACGCCGCGUGGGUGAUGAAGGUCUUCGGAUCGUAAAACUCUGUUAUUAGGGAAGAACAUAUGUGUAAGUAACUGUGCACAUCUUGACGGUACCUAAUCAGAAAGCCACGGCUAACUACGUG